RNAcentral lists this ribosomal RNA (915 nucleotides) under uncultured archaeon. RNAcentral describes it as "bacterial SSU rRNA". It matches the Rfam family "Archaeal small subunit ribosomal RNA", at positions 1 to 922 of the family's 1478-position model. The record is from RNAcentral.
UUCCGGUUGAUCCUGCCGGAGGCCACUGCUAUUGGGAUCCGACUAAGCCAUGCGAGUCGAGAGGGUUCGGCCCUCGGCAGACUGCUCAGUAACACGUGGAUAACCUAACCUUAGGUGGAAGAUAACCUCGGGAAACUGAGAAUAAUAUUCCAUAGAUCUAGGAUGCUGGAAUGCAUCUAGAUUGAAAGUUCCGACGCCUAAGGAUGGGUCUGCGGACUAUCAGGUUGUAGUCAGGGUAAAGACCUGACUAGCCUACGACGGAUAUGGGUUGUGAGAGCAAUAGCCCAGAGACGAUAUCUGAGACACGAUAUCGGGCCCUACGGGGCGCAGCAGGCGCGAAAUCUUCACAAUGUGCGAAAGCACGAUGAGGGGAUCCCAAGUGCUGGCACGUAAGUGUCAGCUGUUUCUUAGUCUAAAAAACUGAGAGAGUAAGGGCUGGGUAAGACGGGUGCCAGCCGCCGCGGUAAUACCUGCAGCUCAAGUGGUGGCCGCUAUUAUUGGGCCUAAAACGUCCGUAGCCUGUUUAGUAAAUGCUUGGGUAAAUUGUGUAGCUUAACUAUACGAAUACCGGGUAGACUGCUAAACUUGGGACCGGGAGAGGCUAGAGGUACUCCUGGGGUAGAGGUGAAAUUCUGUAAUCCUAGGGGGACCACCAGUGGCGAAGGCGUCUAGCUAGAACGGGUCUGACGGUGAGGGACGAAGCCCUGGGGCGCAAACCGGAUUAGAUACCCGGGUAGUCCAGGGUGUAAACGCUGCUUGCUUGAUGUUAGUUGGGCUCCGAGCCCAACUAGUGUCGGAGAGAAGUUGUUAAGCAAGCUGCCUGGGAAGUACGGUCGCAAGACUGAAACUUAAAGGAAUUGGCGGGGGAGCACAGCAACGGGUGGAGCAUGCGGUUUAAUUGGAUUCAACGCCGGA